GUUUAUUUAAUUAUUUAAUAUAAAUAAUUUUAUUGUAUUUUUGUCUUAGUAUAUUUUAUAGAAUUGAUUUUUUAAAUUAUAGUUUAUUGGUAAUGUAAGUGUUUUAUGAAAUAUUAUUUUAAAUUUUUUUAAGUAGAUUUUAUUUAUUGUACCUUUUGUAUCAGGGUUUAUCAAAAUUUUAGUAUUUAUUUUACUUGUCUCGAUUUGGGUUGAUUUAUAAAUAAUUUAUAGAUAAUGUAUCAUAAUUAUUAUUAAAUUAUUUAUAGAAAUGAGAUGUUAAUCGUUUCCCAAGAUAUCUAGUUUCUUAAGAAAAAAUUUAAUUUUUUAAAGUUAUUUGUUUUUAUUUAAUUUUUUAAGUAAAAAUAUUAACUUAUUUAUUCUUUAAGGGAUAAGCUUUGAAGUUAAUAACCUAUAAUUUAUUUUAUAAUAUCUUAAGAAAAAAUUUAAUUUUUUAAAGUUAUUUGUUUUUAUUUAAUUUUUUAAGUAAAAAUAUUAACUUAUUUAUUCUUUAAGGGAUAAGCUUUGAAGUUAAUAACCUAUAAUUUAUUUUAUAGAAAUAUAAUAGUAAGCUUUAAACCAGCUAUCUUUAAGAUUACAUAUCUUAAGAAAAAAUUUAAUUUUUUAAAGUUAUUUGUUUUUAUUUAAUUUUUUAAGUAAAAAUAUUAACUUAUUUAUUCUUUAAGGGAUAAGCUUUGAAGUUAAUAACCUAUAAUUUAUUUUAUAGAAAUAUAAUAGUAAGCUUUAAACCAGCUAUCUUUAAGAUUACGUUUUAGUUCAUUAUUUUUUAUUUUGAUUUUAUAAAUAUUUUAGGUUUUUUAUUAAGAUUAUUAAUUUAAUUUUAAAAUUUUUGUAAUAAUGAUAGAAUUAGUAUAUUUAUUUGUAUGAAAUUUUUACCUUGUGAACUUAUUAUAAGGAACUAGGCAAAAUUGAUUUCCGCCUGUUUAUCAAAAACAUGUCCUCUUGUUUAUAUUUUGAGGUCUGGCCUGCUCACUGAGCGUAUUUAUAAAGAGCCGCGGUAUUUUGACCGUGCAAAGGUAGCAUAAUCAUUAGUCUCUUAAUUAGUGGCUGGAAUGAAUGGCUUGACGAGAAAUCAACUGUCUCUUAAUAAAUUUUUGAAUUUCACUUUUGAGUCAAAAGGCUUAAAUUCUUCUUUAGGACGAGAAGACCCUAUAGAUCUUGACAUUUUACUUUUAUAUAGUUUUUUGUUUGUCUUUCUAUAUUUAAUGAUGAUGUUUUGUUGGGGUGACAUGAAGAAUAGAUAAACUCUUCAUUAUUAUAUCAUUUAUUUAUGUUUGUUAUUUUGAUCCAUAAUUUAUGAUCAUCAGAUUAAGUUACCUUAGGGAUAACAGCGUAAUUGUUUUUGAGAGCUCAUAGCGACAAAGCAGAUUGCGACCUCGAUGUUGGAUUAAGAAAAAUUUUGGGUGCAGGAGCCCAAUGAUUAGGUCUGUUCGACCUUUAAAUUCUUACAUGAUCUGAGUUCAGACCGGCGUGAGCCAGGUCGGUUUCUAUCCUAAGAUUGUUAAUCCAUAUUAGUACGAAAGGACCAUAUGGUUAAAAUAUUUUUUGUUAUAUUGAUUAAUAUUAAUUUAUUUA
Schistocerca gregaria is the source of this 1593-nucleotide long non-coding RNA. RefSeq lists it as uncharacterized. The transcript has 4 exons. NCBI's taxonomy places the organism in Eukaryota, Metazoa, Arthropoda, Insecta, Orthoptera, Acrididae. The record is from RefSeq and is a predicted model, not a curated record.